CAAUUCUGUUCACGCAUAGCUUGUGGACCGCCUGAAAAAAUACCUAAUGCAGUAUUUCACGCAAAAGACUUUUUGUUUGACUCUGAAGCAGUCUAUACAUGUUUUAAAGGAUACAAAAUGAAAUUAGGGAUCAAUUCCAG
This is a long non-coding RNA of Nanorana parkeri, 140 nucleotides long. RefSeq lists it as uncharacterized. The transcript has 3 exons. NCBI's taxonomy places the organism in Eukaryota, Metazoa, Chordata, Amphibia, Anura, Dicroglossidae. The record is from RefSeq and is a predicted model, not a curated record.